GGUGGUGUGGUUCAGUGGUAGAUUGCUUGCCUAGCAGGUGUGAGACCCUGGGUUCAAUCCUCAGCACCACAU
RNAcentral lists this transfer RNA (72 nucleotides) under Marmota marmota marmota (Alpine marmot). It matches the Rfam family "tRNA". From Rfam's summary of the family: Transfer RNA (tRNA) molecules are approximately 80 nucleotides in length. Their secondary structure includes four short double-helical elements and three loops (D, anti-codon, and T loops). The record is from Rfam by way of RNAcentral. Lineage: Eukaryota; Metazoa; Chordata; Mammalia; Rodentia; Sciuridae. RNAcentral also lists the same sequence under 1 other name.